AGCAGCCGCGGUAAUUCCAGCUCCAAUAGCGUAUAUUAAAGUUGUUGCAGUUAAAAAGCUCGUAGUUGAAUUUCGGGAUCAAUACGUCGGUCGUGCUUCGGUACGUACUGGCGUCAUUGAUUUCUCCCUUCUGACGAACCAUGAUGUCAUUAACUUGGUGUCAUGGGAAAUCAGGACUGUUACUUUGAAAAAAUUAGAGUGUUUAAAGCAGGCUCACGCUUGAAUACAUUAGCAUGGAAUAAUGAAAUAGGACGUUCGAUCCUAUUUUGUUGGUUUUAGGAUCAACGUAAUGAUUAAUAGGGAUAGUUGGGGGCAUUAGUAUUCAAUUGUCAGAGGUGAAAUUCUUGGAUUUAUUGAAGACUAACUACUGCGAAAGCAUUUGCCAAGGAUGUUUUCAUUAAUCAAGAACGAAAGUUAGGGGAUCGAAGACGAUCAGAUACCGUCGUAGUCUUAACCAUAAACUAUGCCGACUAGGGAUCGGAUGAUGUUAAUUUUUAAUGA
This 501-nucleotide ribosomal RNA is filed under the name uncultured Glomus. RNAcentral describes it as "SSU rRNA". It matches the Rfam family "Eukaryotic small subunit ribosomal RNA", at positions 569 to 1074 of the family's 1831-position model. Lineage: Eukaryota; Fungi; Glomeromycota; Glomeromycetes; Glomerales; Glomeraceae. The record is from RNAcentral.